This 468-nucleotide ribosomal RNA is filed under the name uncultured bacterium. Its description in RNAcentral is "partial 16S ribosomal RNA". It matches the Rfam family "Bacterial small subunit ribosomal RNA", at positions 28 to 507 of the family's 1533-position model. The record is from RNAcentral.
GACGAACGCUGGCGGCGUGCUUAACACAUGCAAGUCGAACGGAAAGGCCCUGCUUUUGUGGGGUGCUCGAGUGGCGAACGGGUGAGUAACACGUGAGUAACCUGCCCUUGACUUUGGGAUAACUUCAGGAAACUGGGGCUAAUACCGGAUAGGAGCUCCUGCUGCAUGGUGGGGGUUGGAAAGUUUCGGCGGUUGGGGAUGGACUCGCGGCUUAUCAGCUUGUUGGUGGGGUAGUGGCUUACCAAGGCUUUGACGGGUAGCCGGCCUGAGAGGGUGACCGGCCACAUUGGGACUGAGAUAGGGCCCAGCCGCCUACGGGAGGCAGCAGUGGGGAAUAUUACACAAUGGGCGGAAGCCUGAUGCAGCCCCGUCGCGAGCGGGAUGACGGCUUGCGGGUUGUGAACCGCUUUCGCCUGUGACGAAGCGUGCGUGACGGUAAUGGGUAAAGAAGCACCGGCUAACUACGUG